AGCAUACGCUCUCACUACCAGUGAGUGGCUAUUCUGAUUGAUGGGAGUUUGGCCCCGCUGUUUUGGCUUUCUAUCGGUGACCCCGGAGAAUGGACAGGAAAAGUUUCACCCCAGAGGAUUGCUGUUGGUGACUGGAGAUGUUGUGGGACUGGGAAGCUGAUAUACCCAGAGACAACUGCUGCUGCACCGCUCAUGUAAUUCUGGAAAAAUCACCGGGCCAGUCCGCCUGCAUUACUCAUAGCACAGGUGGACCCAAACCUCCAUAAAAAUAUCUGUGGACUUAUGCAUAUAGAUGUCGUCAUUUUAAUGAUCCCCCUUAUUUUCCUAUAAACCAGAGAUUACAAGUAUAUAUAGUAUUAUUAUUGUUUUUC
Molecule: long non-coding RNA, 371 nt
Organism: Oncorhynchus tshawytscha (Chinook salmon)
Lineage: Eukaryota; Metazoa; Chordata; Actinopteri; Salmoniformes; Salmonidae
Source: Ensembl